CUGCUCCAGAGAGAGCAAUGAGCAUGAACAUGCUUUGGGAAAAAGUAAAACUAUUGUUUUUCCUCCUCUUUAGCUUUUCCAGGGGCAGAGAAAGAAGAAAGACAAGGCAGAAGGUCAUGCGUGACAAGCAACUGCAGACCACUGUCUUGGUAUCUGAGAUGAUAGAAUCAGAUAGCACAUUUGACGUGGGGUCUUCAUCUGGGGGCAAAGACAUUCACCAUCACUGUGAAGCCCAGAGAGCGUCGUGGCAGAUCAAGUAACGUAAGAAAUCAUUUCAGAAUAACACACAGGAUUUAAAGCUCGGCCUGCACAAGUAAAUCCUUCAUUCCUCCUCUCUACAUUCCAACCUUCUGAUAUACUUCUUCAAUAUGCUAAGUUUGUAAAGUAUACAAAUACAGAAGUAUUCAUCUGCAUAGAAACUAUUUUUUAAAUAAAAUAUUAUGUUUACACUUGCUUACAUCUAUUUUCUUUAUAUCAAUUAGAUUAUUCUCACAUGGCAUGAACUUGAAAAUAUAAUGUAGUACUU
RNAcentral lists this long non-coding RNA (526 nucleotides) under Ovis aries (sheep). RNAcentral's name for it is "lncRNA (ENSOARG00000025470.1)". The record is from RNAcentral. Lineage: Eukaryota; Metazoa; Chordata; Mammalia; Artiodactyla; Bovidae.